Long non-coding RNA from Pezoporus occidentalis (night parrot), 573 nucleotides. RefSeq lists it as uncharacterized. Lineage: Eukaryota; Metazoa; Chordata; Aves; Psittaciformes; Psittacidae. The record is from RefSeq and is a predicted model, not a curated record. The transcript has 6 exons.
CGCGCAUGCGCGGAGCGCUCCGCCGGCUCUUGUGGGCACACGGAAGCUGCGGCUGCCGAGACCUCGUGGCGCAACGGCACUUGUGCAGGCUCAGAGGGAACUUUGGCAACAGGGCUGGGGAGGAUGAACCUCAUGGAGCCACCAGGAGCUGGAGCUUGUGCUGACGCUCAUCUCCUGUGGUGCUGUGGGAACUCCUGGGACACUUCCAACUUUUUCUCUUCCAGAAGGGUUUUUCUACAUCAAAGUGAAAUUCCUUUCCAGUUGACUUCACCACUGAAGUUACAUCAGAGUAGCUGCUAACACCCAACACUGGAGCUCCAGGAGUAACCUUUGGAACAAAAGACUUCAAAGUGACAGCAGCCGGAGCCUCUGGCGAUAGUGAACUCCUGGUCUGCUCAGUGCAAUUCCACGUGCCUUUCCCAUGCACUUGGCUGAGUGCUCAUUGGAUCGAGUUGGCUCAACCUGAAGGGAUGCAGGUGUUGACGUGGUGCAGACUGCUCCUCGUGGGAAGGUGAAGCUGCCUGUGCUGAGCUAAGAAGUGAUGCAGGGGUUUUGGAGGUACCUUGGUUGGUU